ACAUCCCGAGUGAGGGGCUCUGGGUCACCUCCCACCCGUGUUUAUUUUACCUUGUUGCUUCGGCGGGCCCGCCUUAACUGGCCGCCGGGGGGCUUACGCCCCCGGGCCCGCGCCCGCCGAAGACACCCUCGAACUCUGUCUGAAGAUUGAAGUCUGAGUGAAAAUAUAAAUUAUUUAAAACUUUCAACAACGGAUCUCUUGGUUCCGGCAUCGAUGAAGAACGCAGCGAAAUGCGAUACGUAAUGUGAAUUGCAAAUUCAGUGAAUCAUCGAGUCUUUGAACGCACAUUGCGCCCCCUGGUAUUCCGGGGGGCAUGCCUGUCCGAGCGUCAUUGCUGCCCUCAAGCCCGGCUUGUGUGUUGGGCCCCGUCCCCCGAUCUCCGGGGGACGGGCCCGAAAGGCAGCGGCGGCACCGCGUCCGGUCCUCGAGCGUAUGGGGCUUUGUCACCCGCUCUGUAGGCCCGGCCGGCGCUUGCCGAUCAACCCAAAUUUUUAUCCAGGUUGACCUCGGAUCAGGUAGGGAUACCCGCUGAACUUAAGCAUAUCAAUAAGUGGAGGAA
RNAcentral lists this ribosomal RNA (559 nucleotides) under Penicillium sp. WZLA010. RNAcentral's name for it is "eukaryotic LSU rRNA". The stretch from base 179 to 331 matches the Rfam family "5.8S ribosomal RNA". The record is from RNAcentral. Lineage: Eukaryota; Fungi; Ascomycota; Eurotiomycetes; Eurotiales; Aspergillaceae.